AGAAACGGAUUCAAACAAGCGAUGAAGCAGUGACAUCAUCAUCUCCUCUGCUGUGUCCGGACAGCCCGUCGUUUUCACAGGAAGUGCUGAAUCUACGGAACGGCGCCCUCUGACGGUGACGCCACCACCUGACCUUUCACCUCUGCAGCUUCAGUGCAGAGCUGCAUCCCAGCUGACAUCGCUGCCCUCACAUCUGUCUAUAGGUGUCAUGAUGCAACUUCCUGAAAGCUGACGGGCGCCGCCGCGGCUUUCACGUGAUUGCAUCAGAACACAACAGUGAAGUUUAAAAGGCUGUAAAAGUCAACAACACAAACGCACAACAGGAGCAGAGCGCGACACUGAAGGUCCGUUUGGAGACGAAGAACCAAAACAUUCACAAAAUCUGACUCAGAAUUGAAGUAGUGCACACACACUGACACUGAGAUACACACUCACACACACAUACUGACACUCACACACACACUGAGAUACACACACACUGACACACACUGACACACACUGACACUGAGAUACACUGAGAUACACACAGACACACACACACACUGACACUGACACACACUGAGAUACACACUGACACACACACUGAGAUACACACACACUGAGAUAGAAGUCAUGUAAACUUAAAGAGCCUUCACUGGGAUGUUGGUCCCUUGUGACGUCAUUAGCGGGUCAUCUGGCUGAAGCUAACGAGAAAACGGAGCUUCAGCAGAAAACGCUUCCGUGAACCGGAAACUUCCUACCGAUCUGAAGAUCCGUUAGUUUAUGAAGCACCCCGAUGUGAGAACGAGUCCAGAAACCUUUGAUGUUUCUUUGUUCAGACUGUUACAUUUUCCGAUCAUUUCUUUUCACUUCCGGUGACGUCACUGUCUUUGUGUUUUUCGCUGCUGUCAAACUUUAGAUGAAAUGAAACCAACUUUCCCGCUGCUCGCUACAUUUAUGAAACAUUCGAAACGUUUCUAACUCACCUUCACCGGAAACCGAGGCCGCUUAGUUUCGGACCGGGACCGGGAGCCUCCGGAGUCAGCUCCGGUUCUUGGAUCAAAAACGGGUCAAACUUUUUCCUCCUCGAGUUUCCGGUAAGAGACGGCGGCUCCGCGCGCACCCGCGUGCAGGUCGGUCUCCCGCUGCUUUCCCGAAGCUCCACUCGGUCAGGCUCCGGUCUCAGAGUUCGGGACUGCCGCGGCUCCGCUUGGUCACUUUGUUCCCCGCGUGGUGUCGUCAUGCAGUGGGCGGGGCCUUGGUGUUGCAAUGAAAAUCAAAGUAGAAAAUACGUCAUCAGGUUCAUCAGACACAAGAACCAAUCAGAUCCUUCACCUACAGAACAGAAACUGUGGGGGGUACGGUUGGAGGUGGGGGGGACUGUGGGGGGUAUGGUUGGUGUGCAUGCUUGCUUCCAGCUUUUCUGA
RNAcentral lists this long non-coding RNA (1406 nucleotides) under Oryzias sinensis (Chinese medaka). RNAcentral's name for it is "lncRNA (ENSOSIG00000004959.1)". Lineage: Eukaryota; Metazoa; Chordata; Actinopteri; Beloniformes; Adrianichthyidae. The record is from RNAcentral.